This is a non-coding RNA of Rattus norvegicus (Norway rat), 7011 nucleotides long. The record is from RefSeq and is a predicted model, not a curated record. NCBI's taxonomy places the organism in Eukaryota, Metazoa, Chordata, Mammalia, Rodentia, Muridae.
UUAUUAUUGCCCCUAGAUCCUCAGGCUUGGAGACUAAGGAAGACCCUAGUGAGCACAGUACGCGUGCUGACUGAUAGUUCAUUCACACUUUCGUUUCCUAGGUGCCACAGCGUGCGUUGCUGAUGAACAGGGGCAUCUGAAAGUCUGUUGGUAGUCUAUGACCUCUGACAGCUGCAGCUCUUCUAUCAAGCCCCGUCUUGGUGACACUGUACGGAGACAGAUGGGCAGGAAGAAAACAUGCUUGAGAUGUAGGGUGUGCCUGUGCAGCACAUCCUGGGGUACCCUUUUAGUCUGGACAGCCUCAAGGAUUGUACUGGCUGUGGACAAGGGAUGGGGAAUCCUGGCUGUGUGUUAGGAGGUGGGGACCCAACAAGAAUUCCCUUCAUUGUGUUCACAUCACCACAACGGAUGAGGAUUGGUAAGAGCAAGAGACAACAGAAACAACAUCCAGAAAAGACAGCCCAGGCCAUCCAGCUUUUGUGUAUAGAGAUUCCUACAGAAUCAAACCAAAGGCAAAGUCCUGCUCCAUGAUAUGAAGCCCAUGCCUGGCACUGUGAUAGGGCUAUGAACCUACAUCUAGAUACAAUGAUGCAGAUGCACCUAUGAACUCACAGCGACUUUGACAGCAUGCAAAACACCCGAGCAAGCUCAAGCCAGACAACCCCAGCACAGAAUGGAGGAGGUUUGGGAGACACACCCACCCCUCUGAGCAUGUCUGCAAUGGUGUCCAGAGAAGACUUUCUAAGGAAGAAGGACCUACUCUGCCUGUGAACAGCACCAGUCUGUAGGCUGACUAAAAAGAAGAAAGCCAUUUUCCCCUUGAGCGGAGCACCAGCUUUGUUCUUCCUCUGUCCAGAUGGGAGAAAGACCCUGCUGCCUUCCCAUGGGUGUGAUGGGACGAGCCCUGAAUUGCAAGAGCGAAGUUAAAAGCAUCUUCUGGGGACAAGAUGUCUCUCCUCUUUGCUCCUCAGCCAGCAUCUCUGAAGAGAAGUCAUGGUCCAUUACCAAAGUGGAAAAUCUUCACAGCUGCUGCUCUGAGGAACAAUCAACUAAGAAGAAGCACAGCCCAGUGGAAGGAACCUUAAGCCAGUGGUGCAAUCCAACUCUGCCAUUCAUGAGCUGAGCCAGUCUCUCAACCUCUCCUGACUUCCUUUUCCAUAUGCACUUAGUGACAAAGGUGGAGAGGCAUAGUGACAGGGGUCUGGAUGAAAGGGUGAGGGUCCUGAGAUGACAGAAGACAGUUUUUAACAGGAAUCACUGUGAAAGGUGAUGGGCAGGUAUUGCAAAGAGUGCCUUCCAAAUGAGGCAGUCUGAGGAGAUCUGUGAGCCUGUCCUUUCACUGACCCUGUCUGACAGGCCAAGCAUAGGCUCAGGAAAACAGCAGAGGGAGAGGGUAGGGCUCUGCCAUGGAAGAGCUUACAGCAUUUCCAUCGUGGGUCAGGGAAGUGGAUAUUGAUAAUGUCAUGGGAUAUGUAGUUAAUACAGUGAAGAAGAGAGACAGUCAUCCCUCAGUGUUCAUGAAGGGCCUGCCAUUGAUCAGAACUUCCUGUGAACAUCAGAACCUUGGGUGAUGUAUCCCAUAACAAGGUGAGGAGUGUGUGUGAACAGAACCUGUAUGUUUGAACUUGCAUCUAGAGCAUUUAUUGUACCCAGACACAUGAAUGCUGUAAAAGUGAAAAGUCAAGAAAAUGUCUAGCUAUGUUCAGUACAGAUACAAAUCUUUAGAGAAGUUUAACCUUCAGUCAGUCGGACUCUUGGAUGCAAGCUUAAGGACACACUUGGUAACUGCAGGUGAGGGUCACAGAUGAUGUGGCAAACAAGAUGAGAGUUCAGGAAAAACCUGUUCAAAAGGUGUUUGCUGAGGAUAUGGAUUAGUGGUUAAAAGCACUGGCUGCUCUUCUGGAGGACCCAGGUUCAAUUCCAGUACUCACACGGUAGCUCACAGCUAUCUGCAAAUCCAGUUCUAGGGGGUCUGACACCACCAUCUGGCUUCUGCUGACACUUUACAUACAUGGAUCUCAUAGAUGCAUACAGGCAAAAUCAUAUACAAAAAACUAAAUUUUAAAACAGUAUUUAUUUUAUGUGUAUGAAUAUUACUUGAAUGGUAAGCCAUACACUACCCACAGAGGCCAUAAGAGGACAUCAGAUCCCUGGGAACUAGAGUUAGAGGUAACCAAAUUAUCUUAUGGGUUUCAACAACCCAACCUGGGUCCUCUACAAGUGUUCCUAACUGUUGAGCCAUCUCCCCAGCUCCUAGAGAAGACCUUCCUGGCUAGGGCCUCGGCAUUUCCCCCAGAAGACUCCUGUAGCAAUCUCUCCCACCUUCACUGAAACUGUUUGACAGCAACCAGCUUCACUGUCAAAAACUGAUCUGGAGGCAUAAGCCAAUGCAAUUAGACAAGGAAAAAAUAAGAGGAAAGUGUAUUAGAAAAGAGGAAGCAAAUUUAGUAUGAUUUGUAAAUGAUUUGAUCAUAUGCCCAAAAAAACUUUAGGAGGAAAAAAAUGCAUUUGAAUAGAUUCUUGUACAAACCACAGAGGAUUAAGAAAAUAUUCCGGAAGAAAAAAAUGUCAUUUGUAGUAAGAAUAAAAGGAUUUAAAAAGAAACCCAUCCAAGAAUAAAUUUACAAGUACAGUACAAGAUUGUUCUAAAAAGAAAACAAUGUUAAGCCUCUGGUUAGAAAUCUCCAUGAUACUAAAAUCAGUUAAAAGAUACAUAGUCUUUCAGUGUUGUGAAGAUUUUAUCAUUCUCAUUCAGAGCAAUUCUGACCAAAGUGUCAGCACAACUUCUUUUGACUAAACAAACAUAUUCUAUAGUUUAUCUGGGAAAAAAAAGUAGGCAAAAAUAACCUGGAAUAUAAUAGAGAAAGCCAAGAGUGGUGCUCUACCAGAUUUUCAAAUUUAUCUGUCCUAACCCUAACAACUAGAGCAGCUGAGUGCAUUAUAGGCAACCAUUCACAAAGCAGAAUAGAACCGAGGGUGAGCCUGGAUACAUAUUGAAAUGUAUAUAUUAUGUAUAUACAUGUUGAAAUGUACAGACUCUAACAGUAAGCCUCAAACAAGUAAUUUUAAAACAAAAUGGUCAUUCAAUAAGUGCAAUUGCAAUAUGGGUAAGAGGGACUAACUUGAAAGCCUACAUCACAGGUUACAUCAAAAUAAAUUCCAGAACUUAAAAUUUCAAUGAAAGCCAUAUACUUUAAGUUCUUGAGGAUAGAAAAUGGCUUAGUAGUUAAGAGUGGCUCCAGCUCUUGCAGAGAACCUAUGUUUGGUUCUCAGUACCCCAGUAGGGUGGCUUUGAACCACCUGUAACUCCAUCUCCAAGAGAUCCGAGGCCCUCUUUUCUCUCUCUCUCUCUCUCUCUCUCUCUCUCUCUCUCUCUCUCUCUCUCUCUCUCCCUCCCUCCCUCUCUCUCUCUCUCUCUCUCUCUCUCUCUCUCUCUCUCUCUCUCUCUGACACACACACACACACACACACACACACACACACACACACACUCUUAAAAAACCAAACUAUCUAGAAAUAUCUAGAAGGAGAGGCUAAGGAUUCAGUGCAGUGGUAGGGAAGUUGCCCAGCAUGCUCAAAGGUCUGGUUUUGAUGAUACUUAACACCAUGAAGAGAGAAAUUCCACAUAAUGCUUUUACAAAUAAUCUUCAGAUAGUGAUUCUCUCAAAAUAUAGCCUAAGACCUACCAAUCCCUGAAAUAUUGAUCAUGCUUUUAAAAGUUCACUGACAGGUAAAAAUGAUAAUAAUAUAGAGAAUGCCAAAAAUAAGCAGUAAACAUAUCUAUACUAUAUCUAUUUAUAUCUAUAAAUUCAGUGAGCUGGGAAGAAGGCUCAAUGCUUCAGAAAGGUGAGUGAUACUUACUGCUCUUACAGAAAACUCUGCUUCAGUUCCUCCCACAUAGCUGCUCACAACUGCCCAUAGCAGUUGUAAGAGAUCUGAUGCCUUUUCUAGCUUCUGUGGUCACUCUUACAGUAUACAUAAACUUCUGCAAAGGCACACAUAUAUACAUAAAAAUAAAUGAAUACAUAAAUCACUUUUCAAAAACAUAUAGAAUAUAAAUUCAAGUAGGCUAUUUUUUUUACUUACUCAAUAAUAAAAAGGCCUAAAAUGUUUAAGCCUCAAGAGUGUAGUGGUGAUGUUAAUGAACAGUCUAAACAAGACAUUCUCAUUCCUACGUCACAGGCCAGGUUUACAUUGCCCUUCUCUGGGCACCAUGGAGAAGAGGUGGUGGGAAGUCCCACUGGCUUAACAGUCAUGUUUAUCAUCUAUGCUCAAAGUCCCUUGGCUGGAACGUUAGACCCAUGGCUUCACCUGCUCUAAUGGGAGUCCCCACUGGCACCCUCUCCUUGGGUGAUUCCAUACAGCAUAAAAGAGAGCACACAUUUCCUGUGAAGAGUGAGCUGUCUUGGCUACACUGUGAAUUUCUCCCCCAUGUAGAAAAGCUGAGGGCAAACAUUAAAGUCUAAAAUAUCUCGCCCAUCUCACAGUUUUGUUUCACUGUAUAUGAAAGCUUUGUUUUGCUUUACUUUGCUUUUAUUAAAGUGGCACCCAGAAUCAUCCAGCCAUGGACACUAAUAUAUCCUAAGAGAGCUGAGUAAUCAAAAAUGGCAGGUGUAAAGAGGUUGGCUUGAAGUGCCUGGCUAGUGAUGAUCUUCAAUAAAUCAUAGCCCUUACUAUUACUGUCCCCAUCCCUUCCUCCCACGAAAGCAUUUCACACUGCAAGGGUUAGCUGGCUCCUCUCUGCCUCUCAGCUAUCUGUUAUUCUACUAAUUAGCAGAUGUGCCUGGAGAUCAGAGCCAAGGGAGGGCAGGGAUUUGGUGCAGGGCUCUCCCUAGAAGAUGCAUCCUAUGGACACCAGCCACCCGAAGACACCUCUAAAGUUCACAGCAGAGACCUGGUCUGAUUUUCUGGUUCUCAAAUUUGUUAGCUAUAAAUACUAGUUCAGGUCCAGUAACUUCUUUCCCCUGAUCCUUAUUGGUUCCUCCCUGUAAAAUUUGAGGACUGGAGACUGGAAAGGUGACUUGGUGGUUUUGCUCUUGCAGAAGACUUGAGUUCAGUACCUGCUACUCCAGUGCCAAGAACUCAAACACCUUCUGGUCUCUACUAGCACCUGCACUUCUAUAUGCGUAUCCACACACAGACACAUAAUCACACACAUAAUUAAAAAGCAAAAGGUAAAUAUUUCUCCAAUAAAGGGAUUAGAUAUGAUCUACUUUCCAUUCAGCUGGACACCAAUAUGCAUACUUCCAUAGCUUGGGCAAUAGGUAGAGCCAUAAAUAAGCUAUACCAACUCCUUUUUGCCGCUUAGUUGAAAGCUUUAGUGGUCUAGGAGCUUGAUAGUAACGUUCCUUGCGUAGUAGUAAAUUUUCUACUUCUAUUAUAGUUUAUCUGGAAUGGGUACUUUAUUUAAUUUUUUUUUAAUUAUUUAACUCAGUUCUGAGGAUUCAAGGAGAUAGCACCAGAAAAUCCUCACAGUGCAUGCCACCUCAAUGGCCCACUGGAGAAUGAGUAAUAUCAUUGAAGUACAGAAGGGGGCAUCAGUGAGUUCCCCCUAAGCUUUAAAGGUCCCACCACUUCUCAACAUCCCCAACCUAAGAACCAUGCUCCCGACACAUGAGCUCCUGCAUGGCAAACUGCAUCUGAACUAUUUGCAGCACGCUGCACCUCCCCGGGGUCCUGACACCUGACUCCCAGAAGCUUUUCCAGUUUCUGUUUUUCAUGCCUCAAAGGAGCCAUGCAGCUGCUCGGUACUGUAGCAAUGGGUGUGGACACAAAUUCCCUUAAGAGGAGGGUAACAAGGGAGUCUUAGGUUCAAGGGAAUAAGGUCAUGGGCCACACAAGAUGAAGAUGGCCACAUGGGUCCCUAAAGACUUUUCUUGCCUGGCUUGUUUGUGGCCAAAUCACAUAUUGCAGGCUCACAUCAAGCACAUCAGACCUUUUGAAUAAAUUCUGUGCUAGCCAGCCUUUAUGGCAAAAUUCACAUAGACAGUGGCCAUAGCUUAGUGGUCAGAUGCAUAAGUACUGUAGUAUUACCUAGCUUCAUAUUCCAGCUUUCCCAACAAGAUGUGUGGUAAUGGAUUGAUAGUUGCAUGGAUAUGUUUGUGGGAAAGGAUGGAUGGAAAAAUGGAUAAAUGAAUGGAUGGAUGGAUGGAUGGAUGGAUGGAUGGAUGGAUGGAUUCAGAGAUUUAAAAAUCUUGUUACUUGCCUUCUGAGACUAAAAUUUACACUUCAUCUGUAAAAUAAUGAAAUGCAAUUUUUCUGUGAACUACAAUUACCCAGAAUAGCCAUAGACUCAGUGCAGAUUUUGCCCUAACCAUGUUGAGGGAUGUAUGAGCCCUUCAGAACCACUGUGCUUGUUUACAUUAUCAGCAGUGUGCAUACACACCAUCUCCUGGACACUGUAGGAGUCCUCCUCCAAUUGUAGUCUGAAAGUAAAUAAUAAAAAAAUUCCAGAAAUAAAUAGUUCACAGGCUUUAAGUUAUAUGCUGUUCUGAGUGGCAUGAUGGGAUCUCCUGUCAUCUGUCUCUAUCCUGCCCAGGACCUUCAUAAUCUUCUUAAAUGUAUUCUUACUAUAUGUACUAAUACAUUAGUGCCUUAGGAGCCCAGUUUUCAGAUCAACUGCCCUGGAGCAAGUAUAGUGUAUGAAGAUACUAUGGUGGGGAGUGGGGGAGGCUGUGUUUAGAUGUCAUCAUUUUACAGUAUCAGCAUAAAUGUUUCUAUUAUUAGAUACUAGUGUUAAUUUCUUACUAUGUCUAAUUUGUAAAUUAAACUUUGUCAUAAGUACAUACACAUAGGAGAAACCAUAGCACAUAUAAGAUCUGGCACUAUCCAAGCCAUUGAAGAGUUUAGGCAGCAUGGGAAGACAGAACAUGGAUUUUGCUUCAUUUUUUACUAGUGCAUUUUAAUGAGCUGGGCCUGAAUUUCUAUGACAUCUUCUCUGUUGGGGUGUUUUGUGUUAUCUAAACACACUCUCCUGUCCCUUUAUAUUAAAUGUAAUGUUUAUACAGUGAA